RNAcentral lists this long non-coding RNA (904 nucleotides) under Gopherus evgoodei (Goodes thornscrub tortoise). RNAcentral's name for it is "lncRNA (ENSGEVG00005012626.1)". The record is from RNAcentral. Lineage: Eukaryota; Metazoa; Chordata; Testudines; Testudinidae.
AUUGCAUGGUGGUGGUUGGGUCCCACACAAAUACCUGACACCUGCAAGGGACCUGGGAAGGGCUGGGUGGCUGCCUGGUUGCACGGCUGGGCUGGUGGUCAGGAGAGCAGGGGUCAAGCCAAGGCAGGAGGUUCUAUUUUGUGGGAGCCUUUGUCCUGUUCCUUCCUCUCCUGAACUGAAGCAGAUGAUGUUUUGCCUCUGAGCUGUUGAUUUCCUUUCUUUGAAAGAGGCAGAGCAAACGCCAGGGAAUGAGCAGCAAUGCGGUAAGUGUGUCUAUGGGGCUGGGAGCCAGGGGGGCUGGGUUCUCUCCCUAGCUCUGCUGCUGAGUCACUGCAUGACUUUAGAUGAGCUCUGUCCCUCAGUUUCCCCCUCCAUAAAAGAGGAUUAUAAAUUUCCACCCCCUCCCCCGGAGCAGGACAGAAGGUCUUUCCAAUCCCCUGGGUAGUUUAUCUGGGGGGAGAGGGGGCCUCUGUGCAUUCCCCUUUGUUAUUACACAUCACCGAGCAGUCCCAGAGCAGUGGCUCGCGGCCUCACUUCUGCCUGCCUUGCAGCACCAGCCGGGCCCUGGGGAGACCCUGAUGUCUGGAUGCAUCUAUGAGAAGAACACCCAGGACUAUGGCCUGGGGCAGCCAGCCGCAUGUUAGAUACGCGCCUCCUCCUGGGGGAUAGCGCGACCACCGAGCUGUGCCCGGGCUCUCCGGCCGGCAUCGGGCAAUCCCACACCUACAGCCAGACAAUGAACAUGGGCAAAGUACUGCAGGUGAGUGACUCAUUCCUCUGUGUAUACGAGGCCCUGGACUCCUGGGUUCUAUCCCCAGCUCCUGGAGGGGUGUGGGGUCGAGUGGUUAGAGCAGGGAGUGGGCUGGGCUGUGAGUCUUUAGGUUGUUCCUACAAAGAAGCCCAG